RNAcentral lists this ribosomal RNA (524 nucleotides) under uncultured bacterium. RNAcentral describes it as "partial 16S ribosomal RNA". It matches the Rfam family "Bacterial small subunit ribosomal RNA", at positions 28 to 523 of the family's 1533-position model. The record is from RNAcentral.
GACGAACGCUGGCGGCGUGCCUAAUACAUGCAAGUCGAGCGCAGGAAGCUGACGGAACUCUUCGGAGAGAAGGCAGUGGAAUGAGCGGCGGACGGGUGAGUAACACGUAAGGAACCUGCCUCAAGGAUUGGGAUAACUCCGAGAAAUCGGAGCUAAUACCGGAUAGUUCAACGGACCGCAUGGUCCGCUGAUGAAAGGCGCUUCGGCGUCACCUUGAGAUGGCCUUGCGGUGCAUUAGCUAGUUGGUAGGGUAACGGCCCACCAAGGCGACGAUGCAAAGCGGACCUGAGAGGGUGAUCGGCCACACUGGGAAUGAGACACGGCCCAGACUCCUACGGGAGGCAGCAGUAGGGAAUCUUCCACAAUGGACGAAAGUCUGAUGGGGCAACGCCGCGUGAGUGAUGAAGGUUUUCGGAUCGUAAAACUCUGUUGUAAGGGAAGAACACGUACGAGAGGGAAUGCUCGUACCUUGACGGUACCUUACGAGAAAGCCACGGCUAACUACGUGCCAGCAGCCGCGGUAA